RNAcentral lists this ribosomal RNA (439 nucleotides) under uncultured bacterium. RNAcentral describes it as "partial 16S ribosomal RNA". It matches the Rfam family "Bacterial small subunit ribosomal RNA", at positions 338 to 795 of the family's 1533-position model. The record is from RNAcentral.
CCUACGGGGAGCUGCAGUGGGGAAUAUUGCACAAUGGGGGAAACCCUGAUGCAGCGACGCCGCGUGAAGGAAGAAGUAUUUCGGUAUGUUAACUUCUAUCAGCCGGGAAGAAAAUGACGGUACCUGACCAAGAAGCCCCGUCUAACUACGUGCCACCAGCCGCGGUAAUACGUAGGGGGCAAGCGUUAUCCGGAUUUAGUGGGUUUAAAGGGUGCGCAGGCGGAGGUGCAAGUCAGCGGUCAAAUUGCGGGGCUCAACCCCGUACUGCCGUUGAAACUGCAUCCCUUGAGUGCGCGAGAAAUAUGCGGAAUGCGUGGUGUAGCGGUGAAAUGCAUAGAUAUCUCGCAGAACUCAGAUUGCGAAGGCAGCAUACCGGCGCGCAACUGACGCUCAUGCACGAAAGCGUGGGUAUCGAACAGGAUUAGAUACCCCAGUAGUC